Molecule: ribosomal RNA, 468 nt
Filed under: uncultured bacterium
Lineage: Bacteria
Description: partial 16S ribosomal RNA
Rfam family: Bacterial small subunit ribosomal RNA
Source: RNAcentral
GACGAACGCUGGCGGCGUGCUUAACACAUGCAAGUCGAACGGAAAGGCCCUGCUGUGGUUGGGUGCUCGGGUGGCGAACGGGUGAGUAACACGUGAGUAACCUGCCCUUUACUGUGGGAUAACGUCAGGAAACUCGGGUUAAUACCGGAUAGGAGCUCCUGCUGCAUGGGGGGGGAUGGAAAGGGUCGGCGGGUGGGGAUGGACUCGCGGCUUAUCAGCUUGUUGGUGGGGGAGUGACUUACCAAGUCUUUGAUGGGUGGCCGGCCUGAGAGGGUGCCCGGCCAAAUGGGGACUGGGUUCCGGCCCAGACUCCUCCGGGAGGAAGAAGUGGGGAUUAUUCACCAAUGGGCGGAGGCCGGAUGAAGAAAGGCGGGGUGCGGGUGACCGGCCUUCGGGUUGUAACCCGCUUUCGCCUGGGACGAAGCGGUAGUGACGGUAAUGGGUGAAGAAGCACCGGCUAACUACGUG